RNAcentral lists this ribosomal RNA (492 nucleotides) under uncultured bacterium. RNAcentral describes it as "partial 16S ribosomal RNA". It matches the Rfam family "Bacterial small subunit ribosomal RNA", at positions 29 to 507 of the family's 1533-position model. The record is from RNAcentral.
AGUGAACGCUGGCGGUAGGCCUAACACAUGCAAGUCGAACGGCAGCACAGUAAGAGCUUGCUCUUACGGGUGGCGAGUGGUGGACGGGUGAGGAAUACAUCGGAAUCUACUUUUUCGUGGGGGAUAACGUAGGGAAACUUACGCUAAUACCGCAUACGACCUACGGGUGAAAGCAGGGGAUCUUCGGACCUUGCGCGAGUGAAUGAGCCGAUGUUGGAUUAGCUAGAUGGCGGGGUAGAGGCCAACCAAGGCGACUAUCCGUAGCUGGUCUGACAGGAUGAUCAGCCACACUGGAACUGAGACACGUCCCCGACUCCUGCGGUAGGCCGCGGUGGAGAAUAUUGGGCAAUGGGCGCAAGCCUGAUCCAGGCAUACCGCGUGGGUGAAGAAGGACUUCUGGUGGUAAAGCCAUUAUGUUGGGAGAGAUAAGAAGCAGUUUUAUCCCCCGUGGUAAUGACGGUACCCAAAGAAUAAGCACCGGCUAACUUCGUG